ACGGGUGAGUAAUGUCUGGGAAACUGCCCGAUGGAGGGGGAUAACUACUGGAAACGGUAGCUAAUACCGCAUAACGUCUUCGGACCAAAGUGGGGGACCUUCGGGCCUCACACCAUCGGAUGUGCCCAGAUGGGAUUAGCUAGUAGGUGGGGUAACGGCCCACCUAGGCGACGAUCCCUAGCUGGUCUGAGAGGAUGACCAGCCACACUGGAACUGAGACACGGUCCAGACUCCUACGGGAGGCAGCAGUGGGGAAUAUUGCACAAUGGGCGCAAGCCUGAUGCAGCCAUGCCGCGUGUAUGAAGAAGGCCUUCGGGUUGUAAAGUACUUUCAGUGGGGAGGAAGGCGAUGGAGUUAAUAGCUUCGUCGAUUGACGUUACCCGCAGAAGAAGCACCGGCUAACUCCGUGCCAGCAGCCGCGGUAAUACGGAGGGUGCAAGCGUUAAUCGGAAUUACUGGGCGUAAAGCGCACGCAGGCGGUCUGUCAAGUCGGAUGUGAAAUCCCCGGGCUCAACCUGGGAACUGCAUUCGAAACUGGCAGGCUAGAGUCUUGUAGAGGGGGGUAGAAUUCCAGGUGUAGC
This 581-nucleotide ribosomal RNA is filed under the name uncultured bacterium. RNAcentral describes it as "bacterial SSU rRNA". It matches the Rfam family "Bacterial small subunit ribosomal RNA", at positions 102 to 679 of the family's 1533-position model. The record is from RNAcentral.